UACGUAGGGGGCAAGCGUUGUCCGGAUUUACUGGGCGUAAAGAGUUUGUAGGCGGCAAUGCAUGUCUGAAGUGAAAGGCAGAGGCUUAACCUCUGUUAGCUUCGGAAACUGCAUAGCUUGAGUACAGGAGAGGUAAGUGGAAUUCCUAGUGUAGCGGUGAAAUGCGCAGAUAUUAGGAGGAACACCGGUGGCGAAGGCGACUUACUGGACUGUAACUGACGCUGAGAAACGAAAGCGUGGGGAGCAAACA
This 250-nucleotide ribosomal RNA is filed under the name uncultured bacterium. RNAcentral describes it as "partial 16S ribosomal RNA". It matches the Rfam family "Bacterial small subunit ribosomal RNA", at positions 524 to 774 of the family's 1533-position model. The record is from RNAcentral.